This 130-nucleotide non-coding RNA is filed under the name uncultured Alphaproteobacteria bacterium. Its description in RNAcentral is "TPP". It matches the Rfam family "TPP riboswitch aptamer (THI element)". Rfam says of the family: Vitamin B(1) in its active form thiamin pyrophosphate (TPP) is an essential coenzyme that is synthesised by coupling of pyrimidine and thiazole moieties in bacteria. The record is from RNAcentral. Lineage: Bacteria; Pseudomonadati; Pseudomonadota; Alphaproteobacteria.
GGUAUUCACCCGGGGUGUCCCGACAAGGGGCUGAGAUACUGAUGGCCGGUCCGGCAGGCCCGCGCAGCGCAGUGACCCGACGAACCUGAUCCAGUUCAGACUGGCGUAGGGAUGGUGCACCGGCUGCACG